Long non-coding RNA from Vitis riparia (riverbank grape), 367 nucleotides. RefSeq lists it as uncharacterized. NCBI's taxonomy places the organism in Eukaryota, Viridiplantae, Streptophyta, Magnoliopsida, Vitales, Vitaceae. The transcript is spliced from 2 exons. The record is from RefSeq and is a predicted model, not a curated record.
AGUUGAGCUUUAUUUCAAUUAAUUUGACGUAGUUUGGUUUUCUCAGCAACAAAGUGGAGGGAUGAAUGCAAUCCGUUCAAGAAUGCUAGUGUGAUGAAGAUUUUAUAUACAGUCAGUGAUUGUAAUUUUAACGAUUGACAACAUUCUGUAUGUUGUUAGCAAAUAUCAUGAGUUGGAAAUGUUGAAGUUCACUUAAUUUAAAUCACCAAAUUAUGUAGAAAUUGGGUGUACAAGUUCACAAAUUCAGAAAAUUGGGCAAAAUUUGGAAAAUCUUAGUUAUAAUACCAGAUAAGUCAGCCGUUAAAUGUAUGCUAUUUAGCUGGGAUGAGAAUUUGAAUGAAUAAUCUAGAUAUGUGGUUAAAAAGUA